AACGAACGCUGGCGGCAUGCCUAACACGUGCAAGUCGAACGAGAUCUUCGGGUCUAGUGGCGCACGGGUGCGUAACGCGUGGGAAUCUGCCCUUUGGUUCGGAAUAACAGUUGGAAACGACUGCUAAUACCGGAUGAUGACGAAAGUCCAAAGAUUUAUCGCCAGAGGAUGAGCCCGCGUAGGAUUAGCUAGUUGGUGUGGUAAAGGCACACCAAGGCGACGAUCCUUAGCUGGUCUGAGAGGGUGAUCAGCCACACUGGGACUGAGACACGGCCCAGACUCCUACGGGAGGCAGCAGUGGGGAAUAUUGGACAAUGGGCGAAAGCCUGAUCCAGCAAUGCCGCGUGAGUGAUGAAGGCCUUAGGGUUGUAAAGCUCUUUUACCCGGGAUGAUAAUGACAGUACCGGGAGAAUAAGCUCCGGCUAACUCCGUGCCAGCCGCCGCAGUAA
This 449-nucleotide ribosomal RNA is filed under the name uncultured bacterium. RNAcentral describes it as "partial 16S ribosomal RNA". It matches the Rfam family "Bacterial small subunit ribosomal RNA", at positions 29 to 523 of the family's 1533-position model. The record is from RNAcentral.